Molecule: ribosomal RNA, 251 nt
Filed under: uncultured bacterium
Lineage: Bacteria
Description: partial 16S ribosomal RNA
Rfam family: Bacterial small subunit ribosomal RNA
Source: RNAcentral
AGGGCGAGCUACCUGGUGACAGGAUGCGAAUCUCGAAAGCCGGUCUCAGUUCGGAUUGCAGGCUGGAACUCGCCUGCAUGAAGUUGGAUUCGCUAGUAAUCGCGCAUCAGCCAUGGCGCGGUGAAUACGUUCCCGGGCCUUGUACACACCGCCCGUCAAGCCAUGAAAGUCGGGGGUGCUUGAAGUACGCUUACCGCAAGGGGCGUCCUAAGGCAAAACCGAUAAUUGGGGCUAAGUCGUAACAAGGUACC